AAUAAAGCUAAAUAGGUUAUUUUAAAUAUGUAUACGUAUUAUAUAUGUAUAAACUGAUAAAUAGUAUACAAGAUCCAGAAAUAAAUUCAAUUAUUUCUGGAUCUUGUACAUCUUGUUCAUUGCACAUCCUGCACAUGUGCUUGGGAGAACUGGAUAAUUUACUGAAAGCCAAGGGAGGUAAGGGACCAAAAAGGUUGGGAACCCCUGAUCCAAAUGAUCUGAUAUCACUUUUCAGGCAUCAUAAACAUGCAUGGAAUAUAGUUUCCGGAAUAUUGUCAUUAAUUAUCACUGUUUUAUCCGAGAUAAUAAAUGAUUGAUCUAUUUUUAUUCUAUCUGAAAUGUUUGAAUUUAAUUAAGAGAUUGUAAGAUAAUUUGUAUUUUUGGCAAAAGUUGUGUUGGCAAUCUAGAAUUAGCAAUUAAAAAAUUAAAAAUUUAUGCAUAUUUUCUAAAAAAAACCCUAAAAUUCUGUUUCAUGCCAGUCAAAAGACUAUGCAGCUAGC
RNAcentral lists this long non-coding RNA (500 nucleotides) under Androctonus crassicauda. Lineage: Eukaryota; Metazoa; Arthropoda; Arachnida; Scorpiones; Buthidae. The record is from RNAcentral.